Molecule: ribosomal RNA, 309 nt
Filed under: Triticum aestivum (bread wheat)
Lineage: Eukaryota; Viridiplantae; Streptophyta; Magnoliopsida; Poales; Poaceae
Description: partial small subunit ribosomal RNA
Source: RNAcentral
AUGGUGCAGAGGUCGCUGAUGGAGAAGAUUGUCAAGGAACGGGUGGAGAAGGAUCGGCCUGGGCGUGAUGCGGUAGCGGGGAGCUUCGCAGAGCCAGCCAUCCAUGGCGGUCCAAGGUCGCCGAGGUCCCUGCCCAAGGGCAGAGAGAGUGCGCUGAGAGAGAGAGAGAUGGAUACAAGAGGAGAAGGAAGAACGAGGGAAAGAGGCGGGGCAUGGUGCUGGUCCCGUGGGCCCAGCGGCGGCGCCGAUCGUCGAACGCGAGACGAGGAGGCCCAGCCGCGGAGGACGGCGUGGAGGUGCGGUGGCUAG